AGCCGCAGUGGGUGGACCAUGGUCAGUGGUGGUUGUCCAGGUUAGCCACCAAGACUUCUGUUUGGUACAGAGUUGAAAGAGGGUCAGUCUGGCUGGAGUUACAACUCAAGAGGGUAAGGAAAGAAAAAAGGGGGAGAGGAGACAGGGUCCUAUGGGAAAUUCUCUCGGGGGCUUUUGUGGGAGGCUUUGCUUUCCAGGAAAAAGAGAUACACAAGAAGAAAAACUCCCUUCCUGCCUGCCUCAGGGAUGAUGCAGCGCUUGAAAUGUAACAGCUAUCUUGGGACCAGGAGGGGAGAGCUGCAAGACUCAGAGGGAAGCUGACCUAGGGUCUGACAUCACUGAGCUGCUGAAUUAAGCAACUCAGAUGUCACCUUCUUCCACACUUCUUGUGAUGACAGAUAAACCCCUAAGGUUCAAGCCGCAUCUAUGUCGGUAUUCUGAUACCCACUGCCCAAAGCACCUUAUGUGACACGGCAAGUAACUUAACCCUGCUGGGCCUCAAUUUUUCUUUGCAAAAUCAGGAUGCCGAUACCCACUUCACAGGAUCACAGUGAGUAUCAGAUUAGAUAAUGGAUGUAAAGUACUUAGCAUGGUGCCCUACUCAUGGUAAGCACUCAGUAAAUGUUAACUAUUACUACCUGCGUCAAAGACAUAAAGGAGAUGAGUUUGUUUUGUGGGAGGGUAGAGAGAAGAGGAGAAUGACGACUAAAAGCUGGGAAGCCAACACUUGAGAGGAAAGGAGUCAGAGAAUGACUAGAGACUAAAGAAGAAAACCUGAAAUUUCAUUCUACCCACCAUAUCCUUUUUUUUUUUUUUUUUGAGACAGAGUCUCACUCUGUUUUCCAGGCUGGGGUGCAGUGGUGUGACCUCGGUUCACUGCAACCUCCGCCUCCCGGGUUCAAGCAAUUCUCCUGCCUCAGCCUCCUGAAUAGCUGGGAUUACAGGCGCCUGCUACCAUGCCUGGCUAAUUUUUGUAUUUUUAGUAGAGGUGGGAUUUCACCAUGUUGGCCAGGUUGGUCUUGAACUCCUGACCUCAGAUGAUCCCCCAACUUAGCCUCCCAAAGUGCUGGGAUUACAGGCGUCAGCCACCAUGCAUGGCCACCACAUUCUUUUUCUUUUUCGUUUCCCUUUUUUUUUUUUUUUUUGAGAUGGAGUUUCACCCUGGUGUCCAGGCUGGAGUGCAGUGGCUCGAUCUCAGCUCACUGCAACCUCUACCUCCUGGGUUCAAGCGAUUCUCCUGCCUUAGUCUCCCAAGUAGCUAGGAUUACAGGUGCCCACCAACAGACUCGGCUAAUUUUUAUAUUUUUAGUAGAGACAAUGUUUCACCAUGUUGGCCAGGCUGGUCUUGAACUCCUGACUCAAGUGAUCCACCCACCUCGGCCUCCCAAAGUGCUGGGAUUACAAUUCUAUCAAUUUUUAUCUGCCCUGUAAGGCCUUUCUUGAUCUUUCCUUCCUUCCCAAGCCUGGCCUCUGUCCCAUCUCUUCACUUAACUGUGUUAAAUGUGGGGUUCAUGAUAUCAGCUUGACAAUCCCAGAUUCUUUCAUUCAGGAAUUCUCUGGACAUGUAUCAAAUAUAUCUCUUGGAGACACUCUCAUUUCCAGGAGUUCCCAGUUGAUAUGCAAAUUAGGCCUCUACAGUUACUUCCAGACACUUGGAAACUGACAGCUACUAAGCUACUAGCUGGUGGAUGGUGUAUACAGCAUGGAUACGCUGGACAAAGGGAUGAUUCACAUCCUGGGUGAAAUGGCUCCAGAUUUCAUCAUGCUGCUCAUAAAAGCAUGCAAUUUACAACUUAUGAAUUGUUUAUUUCUGGAAUUUUCCCAUGUAAUAUUUUUGAUCACAUUUGUCCUUGG
This is a long non-coding RNA of Pongo pygmaeus (Bornean orangutan), 1854 nucleotides long. RefSeq lists it as uncharacterized. The record is from RefSeq and is a predicted model, not a curated record. NCBI's taxonomy places the organism in Eukaryota, Metazoa, Chordata, Mammalia, Primates, Hominidae. The transcript has 3 exons.